UGCCAGCAGCCGCGGUAAUACGGAGGGUGCAAGCGUUAAUCGGAAUUACUGGGCGUAAAGCGCACGCAGGCGGUCUGUCAAGUCGGAUGUGAAAUCCCCGGGCUCAACCUGGGAACUGCAUCCGAAACUGGCAGGCUAGAGUCUUGUAGAGGGGGGUAGAAUUCCAGGUGUAGCGGUGAAAUGCGUAGAGAUCUGGAGGAAUACCGGUGGCGAAGGCGGCCCCCUGGACAAAG
This 233-nucleotide ribosomal RNA is filed under the name Raoultella sp. RNAcentral's name for it is "partial 16S ribosomal RNA". It matches the Rfam family "Bacterial small subunit ribosomal RNA", at positions 506 to 738 of the family's 1533-position model. The record is from RNAcentral. Lineage: Bacteria; Pseudomonadati; Pseudomonadota; Gammaproteobacteria; Enterobacterales; Enterobacteriaceae.